GGUACAGAGUCAAUGUGGAGGCUAUAUACAGGGGGUACCGGUACAGAGUCAAUGUGGAGGCUAUAUACAGGGGGUAUCGGUACAGACUCAAUGUGGAGGCUAUAUACAGGGGGUACCGGUACAGAGUCAAUGUGGAGGCUAUAUACAGUGGGUACCGGUACAGAGUCAAUGUGGAGGCUAUAUACAGUGGGUACCGGUACAGAGUCAAUGUGGAGGCUAUAUACAGGGGGUACCGGUACAGAGUCAAUGUGGAGGCUAUAUACAGGGGGUACCGGUACAGAGUCAAUGUGGAGGCUAUAUACAGGGGGUACCGGUACAGAGUCAAUGCGGAGGCUAUAUACAGGGAGUAGUUGUACAGAGUCAAUGUGGAGGCUAUAUACAGGGGGGUACCGGUACAGAGUCAAUGUGGAGGCUAUAUACAGGUGGGUACCGGUACAGAGUCAAUGUGGAGGCUAUAUACAGGGGGUACCGGUACAGAGUCAAUGUGGAG
RNAcentral lists this long non-coding RNA (490 nucleotides) under Salmo salar (Atlantic salmon). Its description in RNAcentral is "lncRNA (ENSSSAG00000089940.1)". The record is from RNAcentral. Lineage: Eukaryota; Metazoa; Chordata; Actinopteri; Salmoniformes; Salmonidae.